This 492-nucleotide ribosomal RNA is filed under the name uncultured bacterium. Its description in RNAcentral is "partial 16S ribosomal RNA". It matches the Rfam family "Bacterial small subunit ribosomal RNA", at positions 29 to 507 of the family's 1533-position model. The record is from RNAcentral.
AGUGAACGCUGGCGGUAGGCCUAACACAUGCAAGUCGAACGGCAGCACAGUAAGAGCUUGCUCUUACGGGUGGCGAGUGGCGGACGGGUGAGGAAUACAUCGGAAUCUACUUUUUCGUGGGGGAUAACGUAGGGAAACUUACGCUAAUACCGCAUACGACCUACGGGUGAAAGCAGGGGAUCUUCGGACCUUGCGCGAUUGAAUGAGCCGAUGUCGGAUUAGCUAGUUGGCGGGGUAAAGGCCCACCAAGGCGACGAUCCGUAGCUGGUCUGAGAGGAUGAUCAGCAACAAUGGAACUGAGACACGGUCCAGACUCCUACGGGAGGCAGCAGUGGGGAAUAUUGGACAAUGGGCGCAAGCCUGAUCCAGCCAUACCGCGUGGGUGAAGAAGGCCUUCGGGUUGUAAAGCCCUUUUGUUGGGAAAGAAAAGCAGCAGGUUAAUACCCCGCUGUUCUGACGGUACCCAAAGAAUAAGCACCGGCUAACUUCGUG